GAAUUGGGAUUUGCUGAAGCUUAAAAUGGUGACGGGAAGAGUUGGGAGGGUGGUGACAUAUUUUGCUUUUGUUUCAAUUCUGAAAAGCUUGCUGGAAUUGUUGGAUAUCGUUAGGCUUUUUAAUAAGUUUCAUUUUCUUUUUUGAUAAUUCUCCAGCUGGUACUUUGAUACUUAUUUUGCUAAACUUGUUACUUUUAGGAAAGAAAUGAAAGAUGGGAAGUUAUGCACUUCAAAUUGUUGUAUCUACAGUGCAGCAAAAUUGCGAUUUUCUUAAUCCUUUCUUUUGUCACAAAGUACUGUCUAUAAGAAUUACUGUAAUUCUUUUUUCUUAAAGAUGUA
This 339-nucleotide unclassified non-coding RNA is filed under the name Hevea brasiliensis (rubber tree). Lineage: Eukaryota; Viridiplantae; Streptophyta; Magnoliopsida; Malpighiales; Euphorbiaceae. The record is from RNAcentral.